UACGGAGGGUGCGAGCGUUGUCCGGAAUCACUGGGCGUAAAGGGUGCGUAGGCGGGGCUUUAAGUCAGGGGGGAAAUCCUGGAGCUCAACUCCAGAACUGCCUUUGAUACUGAGGAUCUUGAGUUCGGGAGAGGUGAGUGGAACUGCGAGUGUAGAGGUGAAAUUCGUAGAUAUUCGCAAGAACACCAGUGGCGAAGGCGGCUCACUGGCCCGAUACUGACGCUGAGGCACGAAAGCGUGGGGAGCAAACAGG
RNAcentral lists this ribosomal RNA (253 nucleotides) under uncultured bacterium. RNAcentral describes it as "partial 16S ribosomal RNA". It matches the Rfam family "Bacterial small subunit ribosomal RNA", at positions 524 to 776 of the family's 1533-position model. The record is from RNAcentral.